GAUGCACCAGUGGGGAAUAUUGGACAAUGGGGGCAACCCUGAUCCAGCAAUGCCGCGUGUGUGAAGAAGGUCUUCGGAUUGUAAAGCACUUUCGACGGGGACGAUGAUGACGGUAACCGUAGAAGAAGCCCCGGCUAACUUCGUGCCAGCAACCGCGGUAAUACGAAGGGGGCUAGCGUUGCUCGGAAUGACUGGGCGUAAAGGGCGCGUAGGCGGCGGCGUAAGUCAGAUGUGAAAUUCCUGGGCUUAACCUGGGGGCUGCAUUUGAGACUGCGUUGCUAGAGGAUGGAAGAGGCUCGUGGAAUUCCCAGUGUAGAGGUGAAAUUCGUAGAUAUUGGGAAGAACACCGGUGGCGAAGGCGGCGAGCUGGUCCAUUACUGACGCUGAGGCGCGAUAGCGUGGGGAGCAAA
Molecule: ribosomal RNA, 410 nt
Filed under: alpha proteobacterium SCGC AAA487-L08
Lineage: Bacteria; Pseudomonadati; Pseudomonadota; Alphaproteobacteria
Description: bacterial SSU rRNA
Rfam family: Bacterial small subunit ribosomal RNA
Source: RNAcentral